UACCAGCACCCCGAGUGGUCGGGACGAUUAUUGGGCCUAAAGCAUCCGUAGCCGGUCCUACAAGUCUUCCGUUAAAUCCACCUGCUUAACAGAUGGGCUGCGGAAGAUACUAUAGGGCUAGGAGGCGGGAGAGGCAAGCGGUACUCAGUGGGUAGGGGUAAAAUCCUCUGAUCCAUUGAAGACCACCAGUGGCGAAGGCAGCUUGCCAGAACGCGCUCGACGGUGAGGGAUGAAAGCUGGGGGAGCAAACCGG
Molecule: ribosomal RNA, 253 nt
Filed under: uncultured bacterium
Lineage: Bacteria
Description: partial 16S ribosomal RNA
Rfam family: Archaeal small subunit ribosomal RNA
Source: RNAcentral